This 486-nucleotide ribosomal RNA is filed under the name Pinnaxodes chilensis. RNAcentral describes it as "partial large subunit ribosomal RNA". It matches the Rfam family "Bacterial large subunit ribosomal RNA", at positions 1860 to 2598 of the family's 2925-position model. The record is from RNAcentral. Lineage: Eukaryota; Metazoa; Arthropoda; Malacostraca; Decapoda; Pinnotheridae.
UGCUCUCUGAUUAGUUUAAGGGCCGCGGUAAUUUGACCGUGCAAAGGUAGCAUAAUAGUUAGUUUUUUAAUUGGGAUCUUGUAUGAAUGGUUGGACAAAAGAAAUACUGUCUCUGUAAUUUUUAUUGAAUUUAACUUUUGAGUGAAAAGGCUCAAAUUUUUUAAAAAGACGAUAAGACCCUAUAAAGCUUUAUAAGUAAGUGUUAUUAGAUUGAAUUAAUAAUAAGGUUUUAAUAAUUUAAUUAUUUUGUUGGGGAGACAAUAUUAUAAUUUUGAAUAACUGUGAGUAGUUAAUACAAGUAUAGGUGUUUAAAGUAGUAAGAGAUCCUAUUUAAAGAUUAAAAGUUUAAGUUACUUUAGGGAUAACAGCGUUAUUUUUCUUGAGAGUUCAUAUCGAAAGAAAAGAUUGCGACCUCGAUGUUGAAUUAAAAUUUCUAAGCGAUUGCAGAAGUUGCUUUAGAGGGUCUGUUCGACCUUUGAAUUUUUA